RNAcentral lists this ribosomal RNA (239 nucleotides) under uncultured bacterium. Its description in RNAcentral is "partial 16S ribosomal RNA". It matches the Rfam family "Bacterial small subunit ribosomal RNA", at positions 96 to 334 of the family's 1533-position model. The record is from RNAcentral.
CGGCGGACGGGUGAGUAACGCGUGGGUAACCGUGCCUCAUACAGGGGGAUAACAGUUGGAAACGGCUGCUAAUACCGCAUAAGCGCACAGUGCCGCAUGGUACGGUGUGAAAAACUCCGGUGGUAUGAGAUGGACCCGCGUCUGAUUAGGUAGUUGGUGGGGUAACGGCCUACCAAGCCGACGAUCAGUAGCCGACCUGAGAGGGUGACCGGCCACAUUGGGACUGAGACACGGCCCAA